RNAcentral lists this ribosomal RNA (407 nucleotides) under uncultured bacterium. Its description in RNAcentral is "partial 16S ribosomal RNA". It matches the Rfam family "Bacterial small subunit ribosomal RNA", at positions 30 to 526 of the family's 1533-position model. The record is from RNAcentral.
AUUGAACGCUAGCGGGAUGCCUUACACAUGCAAGUCGAACGGAGUGGGGAACGGGUGAGUAAUGUAUCGGAACGUGCCCAGUAGCGGGGGAUAACUACGCGAAAGCGUAGCUAAUACCGCCUACUCUUGGCGCGGCAGGUAUCGGAUUAGCUAGUGGGUGGGGUAACGGCUCACCAAGGCGACGAUCCGUAGCUGGUUUGAGAGGACGACCAGCCACACUGGAACUGAGACACGGCCCAGACUCCUACGGGAGGCAGCAGUGGGGAAUUUUGGACAAUGGGGGAAACCCUGAUCCAGCCAUCCCGCGUGUGCGAUGAAGGCCUUCGGGUUGUAAAGCACUUUUGGCAGGAAAGCGGUACCUGCAGAAUAAGCACCGGCUAACUACGUGCCAGCAGCCGCGGUAAUAC